This 69-nucleotide transfer RNA is filed under the name Physiculus japonicus (Japanese codling). RNAcentral describes it as "tRNA-Ala". It matches the Rfam family "tRNA". Rfam says of the family: Transfer RNA (tRNA) molecules are approximately 80 nucleotides in length. Their secondary structure includes four short double-helical elements and three loops (D, anti-codon, and T loops). Further hydrogen bonds mediate the characteristic L-shaped molecular structure. tRNAs have two regions of fundamental functional importance: the anti-codon, which is responsible for specific mRNA codon recognition, and the 3' end, to which the tRNAs corresponding amino acid is attached (by aminoacyl-tRNA synthetases). tRNAs cope with the degeneracy of the genetic code in two manners: having more than one tRNA (with a specific anti-codon) for a particular amino acid; and 'wobble' base-pairing, i.e. permitting non-standard base-pairing at the 3rd anti-codon position. Lineage: Eukaryota; Metazoa; Chordata; Actinopteri; Gadiformes; Moridae. The record is from RNAcentral. RNAcentral also lists the same sequence under 1 other name.
AAGGUCUUAGCUUAAUUAAAGUAUUUGUUUUGCACACAAAAGAUGUGAGAUAAAGUCUCGCAGAUCUUA